AAACUAACAAGGAUUCCCCUAGUAACGGCGAGUGAAGAGGGAAAAGCCCAAAUUUGUAAUCUGGCUCUUUCACGAGGGUCCGAGUUGUAAUUUUGAGAACUGUUAUCAGUGCUGGACCAUUUCUAAGUCUGUUGAAAAAUAGCAUCAUAGAGGGUGAUAAUCCCGUUUGUGAUAUGGACUACCAGGGCUUUACGAUACAGUUUCUAAGAGUCGAGUUGUUUGGGAAUGCAGCUCAAAGUGGGUGGUAAAUUCCAUCUAAGGCUAAAUACAGGUGAGAGACCGAUAGCAUACAAAUACGCGGAGGAAAAGAUGAAAAGAACUUUGGAAAGAGAGUUAACAGUACGUGAAAUUGUUGUAAGGGAAACGUUUAAACUUAUCGUUGUGUUUGUUAGUUCAGCCCUUUUACUAGGGUGUAUUCUGGCAAAAUCACGGACCAACAUCAGUUUUUGAGUGCUGGAUAAGGGCUUUGGGAAUGUAGCAGUUUCGGCUGUGUUAUAGCCCGGAGUUUGGAUACAGUGCUUGGGACUGAGAUAGAUUCGCAGCAAGCCACUAACCUGGCCGCCUGAUAUAUGGGCACCCAUGCUGAGGAG
This 590-nucleotide ribosomal RNA is filed under the name Phragmidium yangii. Its description in RNAcentral is "partial 28S ribosomal RNA". It matches the Rfam family "Eukaryotic large subunit ribosomal RNA", at positions 62 to 633 of the family's 3401-position model. The record is from RNAcentral. Lineage: Eukaryota; Fungi; Basidiomycota; Pucciniomycetes; Pucciniales; Phragmidiaceae.